Molecule: long non-coding RNA, 307 nt
Filed under: Homo sapiens (human)
Lineage: Eukaryota; Metazoa; Chordata; Mammalia; Primates; Hominidae
Description: HSALNT0361434
Source: RNAcentral
AAAAAAAAAAAAAAAAAAAAAGAAAAAAAUCCUUCCUGAUCUCAUGCAAAUAUCCCUUAUGGCCAGUCCUAAUUCAGAACCAUCCAGGAAAGGAAAUUCUGGAAAACAGGUCUAGCUUAGCAAGUUGUUAUGAUACAAAGCCACCACACUUAUAAAUAGGAGGGAAGGCAACUAACAUUAAUUGAGAGCCUUUACAUAUGCCAUCUUAUUUGAUCUAUGCUCUGAUCUUACAAACACAGGGUUAUUAUCUCCACCUACUGGCUUGCUCCAAUUCACACCAUUAGGGAGCACACAUGUUGGAAUCCAG